ACUUGAAUAGCUUAUACAAAGAGCAUAGUACUGAAGAUACUAAGGAGAUUAUAUUAAUCUUUAAGUA
Molecule: transfer RNA, 67 nt
Filed under: Episymploce sp.
Lineage: Eukaryota; Metazoa; Arthropoda; Insecta; Blattodea; Blattellidae
Description: tRNA-Phe
Source: RNAcentral